CCCUUAGAUGUCCGGGGCUGCACGCGCGCUACACUGAAGGAAUCAGCGUGCUAAAACCAUUGUCGAAAGGCAUUGGUAAACCCAUUAAAAUCCUACGUGAUUGGGAUCGGGAAUUGCAAUUAUUUCCCUUGAACAAGGAAUUCCCAGUAAGUGUGGGUCAUAAGCUCGCGUUGAUUACGUCCCUGCCCUUUGUACACACCGCCCGUCGCUGCCCGGGACUGAGCCGUUUCGAGAAAAGCGGGGACUGCUGCUGUCGGGGCUUUCGGGCCUUGGCUUCGGUGGAAACCGCUUUAAUCGCAGUGGCUUGAACCGGGCAAAAGUCGUAACA
This 328-nucleotide ribosomal RNA is filed under the name uncultured eukaryote. Its description in RNAcentral is "partial 18S ribosomal RNA". It matches the Rfam family "Eukaryotic small subunit ribosomal RNA", at positions 1470 to 1796 of the family's 1831-position model. The record is from RNAcentral.